Molecule: ribosomal RNA, 460 nt
Filed under: uncultured bacterium
Lineage: Bacteria
Description: partial 16S ribosomal RNA
Rfam family: Bacterial small subunit ribosomal RNA
Source: RNAcentral
CCUACGGGUGGCAGCAGUGAGGAAUAUUGGUCAAUGGGCGCAAGCCUGAACCAGCCAAGUCGCGUGAGGGAAGACGGCCCUACGGGUUGUAAACCUCUUUUGCCGGGGAGCAAGCCUGAGCACGUGUGCCUAGGCGGAGAGUACCCGGAGAAAAAGCAUGGGCUAACCCCGUGCCAGCAGCCGCGGUAAUACGAGGGAUGCGAGGGUUAUCCGGAUUUAUUGGGUUUAAAGGGGGCGCAGGCGGGCUGUUAAGCCGUCGGUAAAAAUUCAGGGCUCAACCUUGUCUGGCCGUCGAAACUGGCAGCCUUGAGUCCGCGGAAAGCAGGCGGAAUUAGUGGUGUAGCGGUGAAAUGCUUAGAUAUGACGAAGAACCCCGAUUGCGAAGGCAGCUUGCUGCAGCGGCACUGACGCUGAUGCUCGAAAGCGCGGGUAUCGAACAGGAUUAGAUACCCUAGUAGUC